This 877-nucleotide ribosomal RNA is filed under the name uncultured Bacteroidota bacterium. RNAcentral's name for it is "bacterial SSU rRNA". It matches the Rfam family "Bacterial small subunit ribosomal RNA", at positions 35 to 916 of the family's 1533-position model. Lineage: Bacteria; Pseudomonadati; Bacteroidota. The record is from RNAcentral.
GCAUGCGGCAGCUAUAAUGCAGACGAACGGCAAGAUUCUUAGCAAUAAAGAUCCUAGAGUGUCGUAAGGGUGCGUAACACGUAUGCAAUCUGCCCUCAACAGGAGGAUAGCUCCCCGAAAGGGGAAUUAACACUCCAUAAGAUCAUGGUGCGGCAUCGCACAGUGAUUAAAACUACGGUGGUUGAGGAUGAGCAUGCGCAUGAUUAGUUAGUUGGCGGGGUAAUGGCCCACCAAGACGAUGAUCAUUAGGGGAACUGAGAGGUUGAUCCCCCACACUGGCACUGAGAUACGGGCCAGACUCCUACGGGAGGCAGCAGUAGGGAAUAUUGGACAAUGGGUGCGAGCCUGAUCCAGCCAUGCCGCGUGCAGGAAGACGGCCUUCUGGGUUGUAAACUGCUUUUGCCAGGGGAUAAAACGUCCAUGCGUGGAUAAUUGAAGGUACCUGGUGAAUAAGCCACGGCUAACUACGUGCCAGCAGCCGCGGUAAUACGUAGGUGGCAAGCGUUGUCCGGAUUUAUUGGGUUUAAAGGGUGCGUAGGCGGUUUUAUAAGUCAGUGGUGAAAUACAAUAGCUUAACUAUUGAGGUGCCAUUGAUACUGUAAGACUUGAGUACAGACGAGGUAGGCGGAAUUGACGGUGUAGCGGUGAAAUGCUUAGAUAUCGUCAAGAACACCGAUAGCGAAGGCAGCUUACUAGACUGUAACUGACGCUGAGGCACGAAAGUGUGGGGAUCAAACAGGAUUAGAUACCCUGGUAGUCCACACUGUAAACGAUGAUUACUCGAUGUUGGCGAUACACAGCCAGCGUCUUAGCGAAAGCGAUAAGUAAUCCACCUGGGGAGUACGCCCGCAAGGGUGAAACUCAAAGGAAUUGACGG